UUUUAAAUAACCCAAAAGAUAGUUUCAGGUUCACCAAUUUCAUUUUGUAGGAGAAAACACACAAAAUAAUAAAUAAUGUUAUAUUUAACACGAUAAUAAAUGCCUAUUAAAAACAAACUCCUCCCAAUAUUAUGAAUUGGGCAUUGUGGAGGCCUUGUGUGGCUCAGGUGUUAUGUCUGGAGAUUUGUGCUCCUGAUUAGCCAAUCUACGGUGGGGAUUACUAAGGGGCGGGGUCUGAUAAUCCCCUUAAAUCCAAUUCUUUUCUAAAAUGAACUGCUUUUGUCCACGGCCAUUUGGGCUUCGGUCUUUGAAGACUUUCAGAUGGUCAAGUGCAAAAGGAGUCAACAGAGGGUUUACAAAUAAAUCUGUCUGAAAUAAGGGUGCUUAAUGAUGGAGGACAGAUGUGACAGGACACGGGCCUUCGUGAAUGUUUGUCGGAAUUUAAGAAGAAAAAAAAAAAGUCUGCAAACAGAACUUCACCUCUGUUUUAAAAAAACCAAAAGACAAUUUCACACUUGACAAUUUCAUCUUGUAGAAGAAAACAAUGGACAUAACACAAAAUAAAAAAUGUUCAUUAACUCUGAGCUCCUCCCAGUAUUGUGAGUUCUGCGUCGUGAAGGCCUGGAGUGCCUCAGUCUUCAUUAUGUCUGGAGAUUUGAGCUCCUAAUUGGCCGAUCCACUGUGGUUAUUCCUAAGGGGCGAGGUCUGAUAAAGAACAACACAUUGGGACUCAUGAAUAUUCUGAUGAAAUCAAAUGGAUCCUUGCACAAAAGGAGGAUGCUAAGCUUGCAGGUGGUGUUCACUGAUGAGUGCCUGGGAGUGACCCACACAGCCUGGCUGUGCCCAGAACAUCAGCAGCAGCCACUGUAUAGGACUGAGCUUCCACAUCCCCACCAUAGCCGAGUACAAAACACAAACAAAAGUCAUUGGGAUAUGGAAAGAAAACCAGAGUACCUGUAACAGAGGCAGGAGCCAGCUAUGGAUCAUCAGAGGGUGACCCACAUUUAUGUUCACAAUCACACCAAGCCAAGUUAGAUUUGUUAUUUCACUACGUCUGUGCACUUCUACAAAGUGGGAGAAAAAAAAUCCACAAAGCACACAUGACAACUGCAUACAGACCAUAAACAGGCACUGUGAGGCAGCCACACAAACUACAAAUCUCCAUUAACCCCUCUAAAACUCAUUGGCAGGGACUACAGAUUUGGGCCUUAGUAAAAGGUUUAGAAAAAUUUCACAAAGAUCAAUGGAAUAGAAAAAGAAAAAAAAAGAUUUUUUUUUAAUCCAUGCAAUUUAUGUAAAUGUCUGCUGUCCACACUGGAUUGAACGCGUUUCAGAGUGUUAGGCGGUGUAACUGUAUAAAAUCACACAUCAUAGACAAACUUAUUCACUUUAUAGCUCAAAUGGAGAAGUAACACUGCAGCACUACACUUAAAUCCGAUUUCUGUUUAUUUGUACUCAUUCUCCACUUCGACUCUCAUCCAGUUCGUUUUUAUCUCUUUUACUAAUCAGACGUGUAGAGCCCGACUGACUCCUCGCUGCGCGUCGGUCAGCAACUCCGUUCUUGUCUGUAAACUGAACACCAGGGACUGAAUGGAGAACGAAGGCAAAAAGCAAAGCGCUGUGUGUCUGCGUGCGGAAGGAGAGACUCCUUAAGGUUCAGGAAGGACACGCCUGAAGAAAUAAAGAGAAGGAAUAGGCGAUGUGCCUUGGCAAAGUGAAAUAGAAAUGUAGCUCGAUAACGUGAGGUGAACCGCUUGCAACAAUGGACAGCAAAGCCAUGCGAGGGACCACAGUGGGAUUCACUUGAGCAAAGUCCGACAGUGGGCUGAUGGACACGAACGCACUGCUCGCCUCUCAUUCAAGUCUCAUGCAGUGAUUGCUAGUAUAAACUCCCACGUUCAUAAGGUGUCGUUCCCAGACCCCGAGCACUUACCCCUCUAUCUGUCAAUGAGUCUUUUUACAUUCGUCCGCACACCUGUUCGCCUCACUCGACCACACAAUCUCCGCUCCCGCACAGCCCAGUGGCAAACAGCUUCAGGGCCGUCGCUCUUGAUGACGUCAUGCAUCCCUCUCGCAGAUUUGUCUUUGCACAAAGCUGUCACGUGUGCUUGUGAGGGGGGCUUUGUGACGUCAUCAAGAGCGACGGCGCUGAAGCCACGCUACACCGCCUGCCAGGAGAGGAGAGGUUGAGAGCGGACGGACGCGUUUAGAAAGAACUGCCGAGAGACUGACAGACAGAGGAGAGAGAAGCUAUCAUUUACUGUAAUCUCUAGAUGGAUGUGAAAGAGGAGAUGUGUGAGGCUGACAUGAACAUCAUAAAGAUAGCGAUCACAGAUAUUAAGGAGGAGCACUGUGAAUGGGAGCCUGCCCACCCUAACCAAGUUAAUCUCCACAUUAAGGAAGAGGACUGUAAACUGGAGUCGUUGGACAUUAAAGAAGAGGUUGAAGAGAAGUUUAUCAGCAUUGAGACACACAAACAUAAAAGUGUGGAGAGUGUCCAGGAAAAUGACCUUCAUUACAGGUGUCAAGAUGGAGCAGCGAUGGGGUUGGUAUCUCCUCAGAGCACACACUGCUCAUCUGCAGGGCUUUCUAUCCAUGUGAAGUCCGAAUCAUUACAUUCUGACACAAGGAGGACCGAGGAAAUAUCAUCAUCUGUUAGAACUCUGGAAGAUCAGCCACCAUCUACAAGUAAGUCUGGAGAGAAUACAGAAAUGAGGUGUGUCGGUCAAUACAAAUGAAGGUCGUCUGCCUAAGUGAAGUGAGAGGGUUGCUGCUUGUCAACACUCCAAGAAGAUGACAUUAGCAAGCGCAGUAUAAGCCUCAAGAGACAAACCUCACUGCUGUUCUGAAUGUGGCAAAGAAUUUUUUGAUGGGAAUAGUCUGAAGAAACAUUUAACAGUUCACACAGGACAGAAGCUGUAUUGUUGUUCAGAAUGUGGAAAACAAUUCACAAAAAUCAGCAAUCUUCAUAAACACGUAACUAUUCACACUGGAGAGAGGCCAUAUUGUUGUUCAGAAUGUGGAAAACAAUUUGCAGAAAUCUCCACUCUCGAUAGACACAGAAUAAUUCACACGGGAGAGAAGCCAUAUUGUUGUAAUGAGUGUGGCAGACAUUUUGGUCUCAGGGGUACACUUCAGAGACACCGUAGAAUCCACACUGGAGAGAAGCCGCUUUUCUGCUCUGAUUGUGGCAAGCAGUUCUUUGACAGAAUCAAUCUUGAGAGCCAUGCAAAAGUUCACACAGGUGAAAAACCGUUCUGCUGUUAUGAAUGUGGCAAAGAAUUUUUUGACAGGAAUAGUCUGCGGAAGCAUUUAUCGGUUCACACAGGGGAGAAGCUGUAUUGCUGUUCUCUGUGUGACAAACAGUUUUUGCAUAAGUGUAACCUUAAGAGACACACCAGAGUUCACCUUUAGAGAAAUAUGUUCACAUGGUAAAGAAAUUCUCACAGGACUGCCAAAUGAGAUUUGGGCUGGAUAUGUCCACUGAGGCAAUGGUCAUUAACUAAAAAAUCAGAAAUGGUGCAAACAUCAAGCUGGAUGAGGAGGGUAUCAUCAGAAACCUAAACUUGAGAGAAACAAAUAUUUGUGAGUAAAUGAAUGUGCAGAAAUAUAAGGAAAGCAGAAAACAAACAGAGAGUACAAGGUGUGACAUUUUAAUUCCUGGAAUGGAUGCGUAGUGUCGCCCGUGAUAUAACUGUACCAAAAUUGCAUGAAUGUUAGUGUUUUGAUUAUGUUUGAACUAAUAUGUGUGUAAAUUUCAAGCUGAUAGAGCUAGUUGUUCGUUAACUUUUGAGAAGGUAAUAGAUAUCGGUGUGUACACUUUGGCGUAAAAGUGGGUGAUCAAAAUUUAGAACAACUUAUUAAUAUUAAAUUUUGUGUGAGAAUCGGCAAAUGUACAACUGAAACGUGACAACUGUUGCAAGUGGCCCAUGGUGAAGAUGUUAUGAAAAAGUCGAGUGUGUUUGAGUGUGCUGAAAAGGAUGAAGAUAUUCUAAUAUAACUGAUAUCUGACAGAAUGUGAGACAGCUGCUCAGCAGUAUUCUGGAAAAAUUAGUUCCAGGCCUGCUUCCAAAAAUGGGAGCACCGUUUCAGUCAGUUUAUAGAUGCAAAAGGGGACAGAAGCUACUAGUGUACAGUUCCACGUGUAUAUUUUUUUAAAAUGUGCAUUCCAGGAAUUAAAUUGUCACACCUCGUACAUCUGUUGAACAAAGGUGAUUCUCAGAACUUGCCUUGUUGCAUGCUGUAAAAUCCUGGUGAUAAACCAGCUUGCCAUUCACAUCCUAUCUGAUGCCUUCGGCAUCUCUGACUGCACACCGAACAAUUUACAUAAACUGGACAUAAAAACGUGAGAACUUCUGCAUGCAUACCAGUCAAUCUACAAGAAUCAAGGCAUCCCUAGAAUGUAAAUUUCUAGAUCUGAAGGAGACAUGGGGCUCAUCCAAAUGGAUGACUUAUGCAGGGCUACAAUCGUUGGACUUCAGACAUUCCUUCUCUACUCAACAUACUGGCACAUUCAGAAGGUACUUUAACAUAAGGCCCCUCAUUGACCCCGUGACCAUCAAAGGAGACUGUGUGCAGAGGGUGCAGACCUAUAAAUAUCUGGGAGUGCAGCUGGAUGAUAAAUUAGACUGGAC
Molecule: RNA transcript, 4634 nt
Organism: Polypterus senegalus (gray bichir)
Lineage: Eukaryota; Metazoa; Chordata; Cladistia; Polypteriformes; Polypteridae
Gene name: gastrula zinc finger protein XlCGF7.1-like
Exons: 4
Source: RefSeq, a predicted model, not a curated record